UGUCAUGUAAUUAAACAGGCAAGGGGACGA
RNAcentral lists this non-coding RNA (30 nucleotides) under Rattus norvegicus (Norway rat). The record is from RNAcentral. Lineage: Eukaryota; Metazoa; Chordata; Mammalia; Rodentia; Muridae.